AUACGUAGGGGGCGAGCGUUGUCCGGAAUGAUUGGGCGUAAAGGGCGCGUAGGCGGCCCGGUAAGUCUGGAGUGAAAGUCCUGCUUUUAAGGUGGGAAUUGCUUUGGAUACUGUCGGGCUUGAGUGCAGGAGAGGUAAGUGGAAUUCCCAGUGUAGCGGUGAAAUGCGUAGAGAUUGGGAGGAACACCAGUGGCGAAGGCGACUUACUGGACUGUAACUGACGCUGAGGCGCGAAAGUGUGGGGAGCAAACAGGAUUAGAUACCCUGGUAGUCCACACUGUAAACGAUGAAUGCUAGGUGUAGGGGGUAUCGACCCCUUCUGUGCCGCAGUUAACACAAUAAGCAUUCCGCCUGGGGAGUACGGCCGCAAGGUUGAAACUCAAAGGAAUUGACGGGU
This 397-nucleotide ribosomal RNA is filed under the name uncultured bacterium. RNAcentral describes it as "partial 16S ribosomal RNA". It matches the Rfam family "Bacterial small subunit ribosomal RNA", at positions 523 to 918 of the family's 1533-position model. The record is from RNAcentral.